CCUGCCACUCAUGGCAGAAUUAUCUAGAACAUCCUUGACAGGUGUGUGUCUAAUCCAUUCUUAAAAACCUCCAGUGACGGAGGCUCCACA
Molecule: long non-coding RNA, 90 nt
Organism: Gopherus evgoodei (Goodes thornscrub tortoise)
Lineage: Eukaryota; Metazoa; Chordata; Testudines; Testudinidae
Exons: 3
Source: RefSeq, a predicted model, not a curated record